Molecule: unclassified non-coding RNA, 295 nt
Filed under: Paenibacillus polymyxa
Lineage: Bacteria; Bacillati; Bacillota; Bacilli; Caryophanales; Paenibacillaceae
Description: Long range pseudoknot
Source: RNAcentral
AUCGAGGAACAUGACUACCAAACCAAGUUUCGCAAUGUGGUGAAGUUCCUGAAUGAAGGGGACAAGGUGAAAUGCUCUGUUCGUUUCCGUGGUCGCGAAAUUACCCAUGCUAAUGUGGGUCAAAAAAUUCUCGAACGUGUGAAAACGGAAGUUGCUGAUCUUUGUACCGUGGAGCGCCAACCCAAGCUCGAAGGACGCAGCAUGAUUAUGAUAUUGGCUCCAAAGAGUCAAUGACAAAUUAAGGAGGAAGUUCAAUGCCAAAAAUGAAAACACAUAGCAGCCUUAAAGGCCGCUU